RNAcentral lists this ribosomal RNA (637 nucleotides) under Bacillus subtilis. RNAcentral's name for it is "partial 16S ribosomal RNA". It matches the Rfam family "Bacterial small subunit ribosomal RNA", at positions 1 to 638 of the family's 1533-position model. The record is from RNAcentral. Lineage: Bacteria; Bacillati; Bacillota; Bacilli; Caryophanales; Bacillaceae.
AGGCCCCCCCCCCCCUUUUUUUUUUAGGGGUGUAUGUCGAGAGCCGGCAGAUGGGRRCWWRCWCUCCUGAUGUKAGCGGACGGACGGGUGAGUAACACGUGGGUAACCUGCCUGUAAGACUGGGAUAACUCCGGGAAACCGGGGCUAAUACCGGAUGCUUGUUUGAACCGCAUGGUUCAAACAUAAAAGGUGGCUUCGGCUACCACUUACAGAUGGACCCGCGGCGCAUUAGCUAGUUGGUGAGGUAACGGCUCACCAAGGCAACGAUGCGUAGCCGACCUGAGAGGGUGAUCGGCCACACUGGGACUGAGACACGGCCCAGACUCCUACGGGAGGCAGCAGUAGGGAAUCUUCCGCAAUGGACGAAAGUCUGACGGAGCAACGCCGCGUGAGUGAUGAAGGUUUUCGGAUCGUAAAGCUCUGUUGUUAGGGAAGAACAAGUACCGUUCGAAUAGGGCGGUACCUUGACGGUACCUAACCAAGAAAGCCACGGCUAACUACGUGCCAGCAGCCGCGGUAAUACGUAGGUGGCAAGCGUUGUCCGGAAUUAUUGGGCGUAAAGGGCUCGCAGGCGGUUUCUYMMSCUCUGAUGUGAWAGCMYUACCRGCUCARYCKGGGAGGGUMWUUGGAAACUGGA